GAUGAACGCUGGCGGCGUGCUUAACACAUGCAAGUCGAACGGAAAGGCCCAAGCUUGCUUGGGUACUCGAGUGGCGAACGGGUGAGUAACACGUGGGUGAUCUGCCCUGCACUUCGGGAUAAGCCUGGGAAACUGGGUCUAAUACCGGAUAGGACCACAUUUUGGAUGGGGUGGUGGAAAGUUUUUCGGUGUGGGAUGAGCUCGCGGCCUAUCAGCUUGUUGUUGGGGUAAUGGCCUACCAAGGCGUCGACGGGUAGCCGGCCUGAGAGGGUGUACGGCCACAUUGGGACUGAGAUACGGCCCAGACUCCUACGGGAGGCAGCAGGGGGGAAUAUUGCACAAUGGGCGCAAGCCUGAUGCAGCGACGCCGCGUGGGGGAUGACGGCCUUCGGGUUGUAAACUCCUUUCGCUAGGGACGAAGCGUUUUUGUGACGGUACCUGGAGAAGAAGCACCGGCUAACUACGUG
Molecule: ribosomal RNA, 467 nt
Filed under: uncultured bacterium
Lineage: Bacteria
Description: partial 16S ribosomal RNA
Rfam family: Bacterial small subunit ribosomal RNA
Source: RNAcentral